AAACUAACAGACAGAGCAAGGGCUGGGAAGAGGGAAGAGGACUUCACAUUAAUUAAUGAACACUGAGAGCCCACAGCUGCUCUGUUCAGACAACAAGCCACAGAUCUGCUUCAAAGAGUCGUGUGGCUCUUUGUCCUGCACACUUCAUUCAUGCAGCCACAUCUCGAGUUGUGUGAUUUGGUUUCAUCCAGGUGGAAGCGUGAAUCACUUCACAACAGGCUACAGCUGCUGAGACACCCUUCCAUUAACCCCAGGGAUUGCAAGCCUAAGUCUAGAGUCUAAAACUGCCCAAGUGCAUCGCAGACAAACUGCCAGCAACAGGGACAACAGCAGGAUGGGGACCAGCCAGAGGGUAGGAAAUAGGGGUUGCCUUUGGUGAGCAAAGUUGGUUGCACUGUAUGCUGAUUGAUGUUUCGUAACGUCUUCUGGACUGAGCAGUUGAACGAACAACAGCGUGUGGUUUCAAAUAUUGAAACGCUAAACUUUGUGGACAGUUCAAACGGAGGGAAGUAGACUCCUCUUCCUGGAAAUAAAACUCUCCUCUCUUGUUCUCA
Molecule: long non-coding RNA, 554 nt
Filed under: Pogona vitticeps (central bearded dragon)
Lineage: Eukaryota; Metazoa; Chordata; Lepidosauria; Squamata; Agamidae
Description: lncRNA (ENSPVIG00000024310.1)
Source: RNAcentral